RNAcentral lists this transfer RNA (68 nucleotides) under Yasuhikotakia eos (sun loach). RNAcentral describes it as "tRNA-Ser". The record is from RNAcentral. RNAcentral also lists the same sequence under 1 other name. Lineage: Eukaryota; Metazoa; Chordata; Actinopteri; Cypriniformes; Botiidae.
GAGGAAGGCCCGAAGCAACAAGGACUGCUAAUCCUUCGUCCCCACGGUUAAACUCCGUGGCUUCCUCG